Molecule: ribosomal RNA, 497 nt
Filed under: uncultured bacterium
Lineage: Bacteria
Description: partial 16S ribosomal RNA
Rfam family: Bacterial small subunit ribosomal RNA
Source: RNAcentral
GAUGAACGCUGGCGGCGUGCCUAAUACAUGCAAGUCGAGCGAACAGAUAAGGAGCUUGCUCCUUUGAAGUUAGCGGCGGACGGGUGAGUAACACGUGGGUAACCUACCUAUAAGACUGGGAUAACUUCGGGAAACCGGAGCUAAUACCGGAUAACAUUUAGAACCGCAUGGUUCUAAAGUGAAAGAUGGUUUUGCUAUCACUUAUAGAUGGACCCGCGCCGUAUUAGCUAGUUGGUAAGGUAACGGCUUACCAAGGCAACGAUACGUAGCCGACCUGAGAGGGUGAUCGGCCACACUGGAACUGAGACACGGUCCAGACUCCUACGGGAGGCAGCAGUAGGGAAUCUUCCGCAAUGGGCGAAAGCCUGACGGAGCAACGCCGCGUGAGUGAUGAAGGGUUUCGGCUCGUAAAACUCUGUUAUUAGGGAAGAACAAAUGUGUAAGUAACUGUGCACAUCUUGACGGUACCUAAUCAGAAAGCCACGGCUAACUACGUG